AUGGAAGAUCCAGAUGCUGCAUCCCCUCAGCCGGAGACGCCGGAUCCUGAUCCUACUUCUCUUCAAGAGGCGAUGCAAGAUCCUGUUAAUGUUUGGCUGGGGCCCGUCGGCCCCCUCCUCCGGAAACUCCAUUCGCUCACGGCUUCCGGACAGAGUCUGCCAGAUGGGCUCAGUGCGGAUGAGAUUCAUCUUCUCAGAGAUGGUCUCAAGAAAUUAUGUGCCCCCCUGCAGGAUAUGUCGGAAGACGAGGUCGACGCUAGCGUCAUGGCCCGGUGGUGGAUGAAGAUAGUUCGGGAACUUUGUUAUGACACGGAAGAUCACCUGGACGAGGUCAUCGGCGCCGGCGCUCAUCUCGAUUUUUCAGAAUUUCUUGAUCGUGUGAAGGAUGCGAGUAAAAGAGGCGAACGUUUCCAGUGGUGGACUAUCAAACCAGGUGACGUUGACCGGAGGGAUGCCGGUGUCAGCCGCCUCACGUCCUCCGAGCUGCCGUUUCCUAUCUGCGGCCAUAGUUGCACAGUUGGUGUUGCGGAGCCCCCAAAGAAGCUUGUCGAUCUCCUGGCUUUAGACGACGACGACAAGCAGACACUCAAGGUGAUAUCUAUAAGUGGAUGCGCAGGUGUCGGAAAGACAACAGUUGCCAGAACAUUGUAUCACAAGCAUGCAGGGAAAUUUCAGUGCCGGGCUUUCGUGACUGUGUCCCAGAAUCCAGAUACGAGGGGGUUUCUCGCCAGCAUGCUCUCACAACUUAAGGCACCACGGCCCCAUGGCUUUCUUGAUGUGCCGGACCUUAUCGAUGCUAUCAGCAAACAUCUCGAAGGCAAAAGGUACUUCAUUGUAAUUGAUGAUUUAUGGCUUGCAUCCAUAUGGAAUAUUAUUAGCCGUGCUUUUCCUCGGGGUGAUUAUUGCAGCAGAAUAAUAUCAACUACACAAAUUGAUGAUGUAGCACUGGCAUGCUGUAGUUAUGACUCAGGUUAUAUAUAUAUGAUGGAACCUCUUAAUGAUCACGAAUCUAGAAAGUUAUUCUUCGGCAGAGUGUUUGGCUCCGAAGAUGGCUGUCCAACAGAUAUCUUAGAAGUUUCAGACAUGAUUAUCAGGAAAUGUGGUGGUUUGCCAUUAGCAAUUGUAGAUAUAGCCAGUCUGCUAGCAUGCGAAUCCAGUAUCGUAUUGGAAAAAUGGAAACACGUACAUGAUUCUUUGCCGUCCACUUCCGAAGGGAUGAAAGAUUUUCUAAACCUAAUCUGCAAUAGCCUUCCACACCUUAUCUACAGCAGUCUUCCACCUCGGUUGAGGACAUGCUUGUUAUAUCUCAGCAUGUAUCCACAGGGCUGCGUGAUCAAGAAGGAUGAGUUGGUGAAGCUCUGGGUAGCUGAAGGUUUUCUCAGUGUUGUGGGAGGGCGAGACACACAAGAUAUUGCCGAGGGUUAUUUUGCUGAGCUUGUGAGCAGAGGAAUAGUCCAAGUCGUGGAUACCAGUAAUAACGGCGAGGUGUUUUCGUGUACAGUUCACCAGACGGUACUGGAUUAUAUUAGGCACAAAUCCAUGGAGAAGAAUUUCGUCAUCACCGUGGACUAUUUUCAAUCAACUGUAGCACUUUCUGACAAAGUUCGCCGCUUGUCGGUCCAGUUUGGAGGGGUAAAAAGCGCAUACAUACCGGAAACCAUUGUAACAUCCCAAGUUCGAUCACUUAUAUUUUGGGGUUUCUUCGAGUGUGUACCUUCUUCCAUAAAGGAUUAUGGACUUCUUCGAGUUCUGAUUCUUCAUAUUUGGGCUGACGAAGACAACGAGAGUUUUGACCUCACUGGAAUCGGGGAGCUAUUUCUUCUCAAGUAUCUCAAGAUUGAAUGUAAUAUCACUGUCGAACUUCCAGACAAGAUUCAAGGGCUGCAACACUUGGAAACACUGGAAGUAUAUGCAAAAGUAGUUGCUGCUCCUUCAGAUAUUGGUAAUAUGAAGAGAUUACUGCACCUCUGCCUUCCGAGCGAGUAUAUUCAGCCCAGUGUAGUUGCCCGCAUGACAUCUCUUCGCGCACUCAGAUAUAUUGAUCUCAGCAGGUGCUCGGUAGAGGAUGUUUUACAUCUUGGAGAGCUGACCAAUCUCCAGGAUCUUCAGCUCACCGGUUCUACGGUACAGCCAGCAGAAAAUCCGGAAAGGAAUGUGCAAUUACUAGGCUCGAUUCUCGAGAAACUCAGUGUCUUGCAGUCCGUAACUCUGGUACCAGCCGCUUCAGGCUCCUCUUGUGUACAUAUUCCCCAGGAUGGCUUCAGCAUGGCGUCUCCUUCUACUCGGGAACUGCUUCUUCGGAGGAUCGAGCUGUCAUGGCGCUGUUGCAUCUUCUUCAGCCUACCUGAGUGGUUUGGGGAGCUCAGAAGACUCUGCAUUCUUAAGAUUGCAAUUAGGAGGCUAUCGAUGAAUGAUACUGAUAUGCUAAAAGGACUUCCUGCCCUCACUGCUCUAACCCUGUAUAUCCAGACAGCCCCUGCAGACAGGAUCGUCAUCAAGAAGGAGGGAUUCAAAGUACUCACGUACUUCAAGUUCAUCUGUGCUGCACCAUGUGUGUCCUUUGUUCCAGGAGCAAUGCCCAAAGUCCAAAAGCUCAAGCUAGGCUUUAAUUCAAACAGAAUGAAGCAACAUAGCUUUCGAAUGGCUGGCUUACGUUUCUUGAGAGGCCUUACAGAGUUUUCUGUAAAAUUUGGGGUUGAGGAUGAUGAAAAAUUCGACAUAAAAGCUGCCGAGUCUGUAAUGGAGGCUGCCAUAUGGAAUCCCCCAAACACUCCAAUAAUGAGAGUACGAUGUGUUGAUGUGAUUUUUUGCGCCGAGGAGGAUAAGAGUACAGCGACUGAAGAAAUAGAGGAAAAGCUGGAAGGCAAGAAAAAGGAGGAUAUUGAACCUCACCUUCCUAUCCCAGUCACAGAUUUUCUUCCCGAUCAGUUCUCGGAUUCUUCAAUGGCCAAGAUUAAUACAUACAAAAAUCCCAGCCAAUUGGAUUACACUAAAAUCCAAACAGAUCCAAUGGGAUACCCAAGCAUAGGCUUACAGAAGAGGGAACGUUCGGAGGAAAAGCGACAUGAAAUUGAGGAAAGCAAGAAAAAGAAGAUGAAACAUUCGGUGGAACAUGCGAACAAGCCAUUACUCGAUAGCAGAUAUGCGACAACAGAUCGUGUCCACGUCGUGACGGGCACCAUGGGCUCCCUCCUCCCCAAGCUGCUCGAGCUCCUCAAGGACGAAUACAACCUGGAGGCCAAAGUCAAGGCCAGUGUCGAGUCCCUCCACUUGAAGCUGGAGCGCCUGCAAGCUUGCCUCUCGGGGUUGGCAAGGCUGGAGCCCAAGCGGCUGGAUGAGAGCCUCAACGGUUGGGCCAGGGCUGUAAGGGACUUCUCUUAUGAUGCGGAGGAUGCCGUCGAUUCCUUACCCUUGCGCAUCGAGGGUUCUCGGCGACUCAUUACGUGGGUCACUGGAUGGUUAAGUAGAAAGAAGGCUCACAAAGAGAUCGCCGACACGAUCAAUGGCAUCAAGAAAAAGGCCUGGGAUUUGUCCACUCUCUAUCAAAGGUGCUUGGAAACUGCGCAUCCAAAUUCCGCAACUAGCAAUUACCCUCGCUUAUUUGCUACGUAUGCAAAUCCGACAGAGUUGGUUGGUAUCGAAGUUCCAAGGGACGAGGUGAUAUGGAAGCUGACACGUGGAACUGGUGGUGUGUUCGGGCAGCCGAAGAUAGUCUCCAUUGUUGGAAUGGGAGGAUUGGGGAAGACAACUCUUGCUAAAGCAGUGUAUGACAAGAUUCAAGUGCAAUACGAUUACAAGGCUUUCGUUCCGAUGUCUAGGGAUCCUGACAUAAGGAAGGUUUACAUGGACAUCCUACUUCUAGUUGACAAGCAAUCGUCUAUGGGUCCCAGUUUGGCAAAAUUGGGUGCAGGAGAUCUUCGGUACAAAGUCAGGAGACUACUUGCGGACAAGAGGUACUUGAUCGUUAUCGAUGAUAUAUGGAAUGAAUAUUCAUGGAAAGAAAUCAAUUACGUUUUGAUGAAUGGUAAAGCUGAAAGUAGAGUAAUCACAACUACUCGGAAUCAUGCAGUAGCCAACAUGGCAGAUGAUGUUUACAGGCUAAAACCUCUUUCACAUUUGCACUCUAAAGAGUUACUCAAUAGAAGACUAUUUGAUGGUAAAGACAACGUCCCUAGUGAUGUACCAGAGGUAUCAGAAAAGAUCUUAUCGAAAUGUGGUGGUAUACCACUAGCCAUCAUUGAAAUGGCUAGUUUUUUGUACAUGAAACCAAGGGUUCAUUGGUCUAAGGUGUAUGACAAUGUCGGUUAUGAGUCAGAUGUUGGAGGCAAUGCAGAUGUCUGGAAGGCGACGAGAGAGGUACUAUCAUCUAGUUAUUAUGAUAUGCCUGAUUUUCUGAGGGCAUGUUUAUGGCAUCUACACAUUUUUCCAGAAGACUGUUUAAUCAAGAAAGAAACUUUGAUCUGGAAGUGGGCAGCCGAAGGUUUAAUCGAUGAGGAACCAGGGAAAGGGCUAUCUGAGCUUGGAGAAUUAUGCUUCCAAGAACUCAUAAAUAGAAACCUGGUCAUGUCGGUAGAGGAUGACUCACAUUGUGGGAAGGUAAUUGGUUGCCGUGUCCAUUAUUUGGUGCUUGAUAUGAUCUGUUCCUUAUCAACUCAAGAGAACUUUGUUACCGUCCUGGAUGGUAGCAAGCAACAACUCCCUGUUGCAAGCAAGACUCGCAGGUUGGCUGUCCAAAAGAGGGUCGCGGAGCAGGGUGACCCUCUGACUAACAUUCGCCCGGAAAAUCUGAGGUCAUUUAAUACCAUGGGGUGUCAUUUUAGUACGGAUCUAUCACUUUCAUGCUUUGAACGUCUCCGUGUGGUUGCUAUAGAGGAAUGUACUUUCAAUGAAGGGGAGAGUUAUAAUCUUAAGUAUCUUGGGAGAUUACUUCAGCUAAGGUACCUCGGACUAUAUAACACACGUAUUGAUGAGCUACCGCAAGACAUAGGGGAUCUAAGAUUUUUGCAGACACUGGACUUGAGGGGAACCAGGGUCAAAGAAUUGCCAGGGAGAGUUGCUCGCCUAAGGCAACUCAAGUGCCUGCGAGCUGAUGAAGGCACAGCAGUGCCGGACUGGAUGGGGAAUCUGACAUCCCUAGAGGAACUGCUGCUGGGCGAAGUCGGCAAGUCGGUAAACUUUGUGAAUGAGCUGAGCAAACUGACAGAGCUGAGGAAGCUAGAGAUUCGGACUGAGAAGUUGGAUAAGAACCAAAGCAAAGCUUUGGUGCAGUCUAUGAGAAAUCUAGAGAAAAUUCAAGUCCUAAGACUUACGAUGCGUUAUUGGUGGCCAUCACUUGGUGAGCUCAACUGGGGAGACUUUGACCCACCUAGACAACUCCGUGAGUUGCACCUAAUGAGCAUCGCAUCCUCUCAGCCGCCCGCGUGGAUCAACGCCUACCGUGUUCCGGUUCUCUCACACUUGUAUGUGAAUGUGAUGGCUCUGAAAGACCAGGAUCUAGAGAACCUUGGGAGAUUGCCAGAGCUCAUUAGUCUGGAGCUGCUGACGCCGUCGAAUAUCUCCCCUACCAUCAAGGGAGACCGUGCAUUCCCCAAGUUGAGGUGCUUUCACACGUCCACAUCAUUCAGUUUUUCAGAGGGAACUAUGCGAAGCCUGGAAUUAUUUCACUUCAAAGUCGACAUCUCGGCCUUGAAGGAUGCCAACGUUAACUUUCAUGAAGGAUUUGUUGCAUCAACAAUGAAGAACCUCCCUUCGCUUCAGAAAGUCAAGGCGGAAAUCAGCUUCACCGGUGACGUCAAGGCGAUACAUGAAGCGCUGAAGCGUGCAGUGGACGAACAUCCGAACAGUCCCAGCCUUCAUGUCAAAACUAAUCAGGUUGCCACUGCGCAGAAAAGACUACUGUAA
RNAcentral lists this ribosomal RNA (5901 nucleotides) under Triticum aestivum (bread wheat). RNAcentral describes it as "partial small subunit ribosomal RNA". Lineage: Eukaryota; Viridiplantae; Streptophyta; Magnoliopsida; Poales; Poaceae. The record is from RNAcentral.